UCUCUGUUAGUAUAUCGGUUAGUACACGCGCCUGUCAUACAAUGACCGCGCGAAAGCGGGGUUCGACUCCCCGACAGAGAG
The sequence is a transfer RNA, 81 nucleotides long. It matches the Rfam family "tRNA". From Rfam's summary of the family: Transfer RNA (tRNA) molecules are approximately 80 nucleotides in length. Their secondary structure includes four short double-helical elements and three loops (D, anti-codon, and T loops).